Molecule: long non-coding RNA, 547 nt
Organism: Nilaparvata lugens (brown planthopper)
Lineage: Eukaryota; Metazoa; Arthropoda; Insecta; Hemiptera; Delphacidae
Exons: 3
Source: RefSeq, a predicted model, not a curated record
ACAGCUUCGAAUCACUUUUCUGCUCUGAUCACGUGACACCAGCAGAAUAAUCUUUCUGUGGAUCAGACGCCAUGUUCUUUUUAACCUCAAUCUUUAAUUGUUGGAUGGUUUGUUUUGAUAUUGGUUGUCAGAUUUCGGAUUGCUACUAUUAUACUGUGAAAUUAAUUUGCAGUGGAAAAUUGAGGUAUAAAAUAUUUCUAUUGGUUUCUUUAUUCUUAUAAUUUUUACAAGAGAAAUUGAAAUGGAUUUACAACAGAAAGGCGUGAAAUUUUCGAAGUUCAAAGUUUUGUACUUUCCAGACCUGCACAACGAAUUACCUAUUUGAAAAAUAGAAUAUGGUUAGAAAUUGCUGAUGUAAUAGAGGAUUCAAGUACCAUUUACAAACAAAAUAUUGAAGAGAAUGUGCUCAAAGGAAAUGCAUAUGAAUUCUUUUUUGUUGACCAGGAUGGAACAAUUCUUUGGAACCUAUACUUAGAAUAAGUUAGUUAGGCCUAGUGAUGUACCAGCCAGAAGUAGAGGAUGACAAAGAAAAUCAACUAUGGAUAAU